This 13042-nucleotide long non-coding RNA is filed under the name Lactuca sativa (garden lettuce). RNAcentral describes it as "long non-coding RNA (LSAT_LNC000857)". The record is from RNAcentral. Lineage: Eukaryota; Viridiplantae; Streptophyta; Magnoliopsida; Asterales; Asteraceae.
AAAAGUAUUCUUAAUUCAUUUUAAAACAUUUGGGAUGUCAUUGUCAAUACAGAAACAUAAGCAUAAACAAAGCUUACAUUUAUUUACACUAGUGAUCUACAUCUCUUUAAUCUCAGUGUAAUGUGACUUCAUCUCAACACCUGUAAUAUAAAUAAACUGAGUGGGUCAGGUUGGGAAACCUGGUGAGUACAUAGGGUUUUCAACCCACAAUAGUAUAAUUAUUAUGUUUAAACAAUCAAAGAAUCGACUCAAUUACCCAUCGCCAUUAUUUUCUUUACUCUUAAGGAUCUAUCCUAAGAGUCAUCUAUUCCACAUUAGUUCAUUCUAAAGUCCUUUGCUUCCAGAGUUAUAGGACUCGCACUAAAUCCAUAGCUGCCAAUGCUCGUUCGUAAAGCACUAAUUCCAUAGCUGCUGGGUACUAAAUCCAUAGCUACCAGUGUUUAUCUAAUAGGUACUAAGUUCAUAUUUAAUGUCCCAAAACUCAAGACUAAAAAUUUCUUUUUAUAAAACAUUACUUAAAACAUAAUUAUCAAUCCAUAACAUAAUCAAAGUAUUACUUCCAAAACAUACUUUCAUUAUCAGAGUAAAACAUUCCCAGGCUGUGUAAUCUAUGGUGUGUGCCAUGCGAUCACCCCGAGCUCUUCCCUCCGCUACCGGAAGUACCUGAAACCAAAACUGAAAACUGUAAGCACGAAGCUUAGUGAGUUCCCUAACCUACAACAUACAAUACAUAACCACAUACUGCACAUACUAGGGCACGCUUGCUAUUCUGGGCCUCGCCCCCUACCUCGGGCCUCGCCCGCUACAACAGCUCCGCCACUCCAGGCCUCGCCUGGCUUCGAGCUCCGCUCGGAUACAGAUCUGUUUCACUUAGGCCUCGCCCGCUAGCAUAUACUAACACAUAAGCAUAUCACAACACACAAACUAACAUAUACUAACAAAUCAUGUCCUGAGGCCUCGCCUAUCUUGGGCCUCAACCUUGUCCUGCUACUAGUGAGUCAUGGAACCCCGUCCAUGCUCCUACUGAUAGUGAGAUAUGGGCCCAGCCCACACUCACUCGUUCCCUAACUUGGGACUCACCCCUGAUCUGCUGCUAAUGAGAUGUGGAACACCGUCCACACUCUGUUGUUGGUGAGAUAUGGGACCUCGCCCACACUCACCUCCCUACCAGGCACAUACACGUAUCACACAGACAAAAAGCAUAAACUAUCAUAUAAACCAUUCCUUGGGCACCCGCCCGCUAUCAUUAGACCUCGUCCUGAAUAUCAUACUAGCAUACUGUGCCUAGGCCUAACCCCUGGGUCUUCUACUCAUAACUACAUAGGCCGGCAUUGUGGCCUUAGACUCAUUCACACAAAGGGAAAUCUCACCUCCACUUGCUGAACUUGCUGACACCCCUCUGACUGCUGCCCGACAACUCUAUGAACUACGGCUCUACUAGCUCCCCAUGCUACCAAUAUUAAUAUAACACUAAGUCUAACUGUCCUCCAGAAGUCAACUAAGUCAACUAUGGUCAAGGUCAAAGUCUUGGUCAAGGUCAACCUUCCAGGUCAACCCUACUCGCCGAGUCUGCCUACUGUUUCGCCGAGUUCACACACUCAGAUUCCUUCCAUUAGCGACUCGACUCGCCAAGUCAGACCAUGACUCGCCGAGUCCACCGAUUUCCGAGUCCUUUCCUGUCCAACUCACUGAGUCUCCACCCGACUCACUGAUUCGAGUAAUACCUCGAAGGGUUCAGGGUUUGCGACCUGACUCGCCGAGUCCAAGCACAGACUCGCCGAGUGCAAGGCAAACUUCAACAGACUCGCCGAGUUGUUCAUCUAACUCGUCGAGUUCCUCCCAAUCUUCAUACUACUCGCCGAGUCCACUCGAAGGACUCGCCGUGUCUAUUCAGUCCUUCAUACAUUUAGAGGCUUUUGAGUCAUGCAGGGACUCCAAACUGUAGAUCCACUCUCCCAAAGCUCAUUCCCCACAUAAAGUUGCAACCUUUACGUGUAGCUAAGGAGAUCUAGGCUAAACACACCACAAACUAGGGUUUAAGACAACCAUGCAUCACCUACACUCUUAAGGCUGAUACUUUAUGACUCUCUGGGCCAAGACACAACUGGAGCUAAAGGGAUUCAACUUAGGGACGUCCAAACCCGAAAUAUAUCAUACUUGGUCCAAAAUCUCAUAAAGAGGGACAUGAAAUGAUCCAACAAUUAACAAGGCAAGCAAGGAACUUGAUUACCAAAAUGAGCAGCUAAAGAGAUGAAUCUUCUGGAUCCACAACCUUCCUCUUGAACCCUUAACGCCUUCUUCUCCUUCUAGGCUUCAAGAACACUCCAACUCUUCAACAAUGGCUCACACACUCAAAGAGAGCACUAGGGUUUCGUGGAAUAGCUUCUGGACAAUGGGGGCUACAAAUGAGGCUGAUACAAGGAGAAUGAGAUGCUUAAAUAGGGUACAAGUCCAAGAAUUAGGGCUUUCUCAACCCAAACCAGACUUGUCGAGUCAGUCUCCCCGACUCAUCGAGUCAGUCACUUAAACCGCGACACGGAUCACGCUGCGACUCGUCGAGUUCCUCCCUGGACUCGACGAGUUGACCCAUUUGACUUAGGGUUUUAUUUACUUACUUGGCCUUUCGGAUCUUGGGUGUUACAACUGUCCCCCACUUAAAAUAAACUUCAUUCUCUAAGUUCACUAUGGCCAACCGACCUAAGAUCUGCGUCCAAUACUUUGCCUGGCAAAACCGAACACCCGCUGGCUACCUCUGCCGGCAUUCCGCCCGGUCACUCUGACUAUCAUUAUUUCUUGCGGAUAAUAUUCUCAGGUUUACCCUAGCCCUGACCCUCAUGGAACGUAACUUACUUGACUAACAAUCCUUCUGGUACUCCCCGAGUACUCAUGCUAGACCUCCUAGGGGUUCACCCCUCUUUUCCUCGUGUUUUCUGGCCUUCUCCAAGCAACGUCCCAUAUCAACUACUCCCUAUGUCACUGUGAAGGUCCUAUCCUUCACCAAAUCCAUUACUCCCGAUACCUCCAGUACGGGUCAUUACCGCCAGUAUCCACUGGGCAUUUCUCUCUACUAUAUUUUGGUGUCGAGCACCCCACGAUCAACUAACUGAAUUCCACCAUAGACUGCUUACCAGCACUGCUACUGACUGAAAAUUUCUGCUAUUCCUUAUCUGCCUUCUGGAUGAACCGAGACCACCCUGGCCCCUACUGAUCUAUCAAUAUCCCACCGGUCGCUAGCCCCAACACCGACUCCUAGUCGCUCCCAGUGACUUUCGAAGAAACUUAGGCUAUCUAAUACUGCACUCUCUACUUUGCCACUCUGGCGCUACAAGUCCUAGGAUCCUCGAUCCCCUAACUUGACCCUAAGGUCCUUACCAAGUCCCACCUAUGCUACUAACACUCACGGGCCUCGCCCACGGGUCUCACCCAACUAUAACCUCAACUGGUCUAUUCUUCUAGUCUCACUCGCCUAACGACUCUCGCAUGGGCCUCGCCCACGGGUCUCACCCCACUACAUCCUGGAGCGGCCUCUCCCAAGGUCUCACCUUUCUAGAGCUAUAUAGGCAAGCUCCCUACUAUCCUCAACUGCUACCCAUUCUUGAUGCCUUCCUUGAUCACUAGGAGAUAAGGUCUCGCCCCAACUCCACUAACGAAGCUACCAGGGAAUACUACGGCUUACCCGUCGUCUUACAACACCUUCCAUCUCUGACUGCUGCUGGAGAAGCUACGACUCUCCCGCCGCUCUACUAUGCUCUACGAACUGCCUCCACCAGUAUCUACUAACACAAAAGCAUCCCAUGCUAUCUAUCAUCAAGAUCUUCAUUCCGACUCACUCGAGUCCUACAGGCGAUCCUCCAACCUGAAUUCCCAACCAUGUACUAACCAUCACCAUUACACACACUAACUGAUGGGGACUUUCUCAAACUCCUAACCCUGAACUCCUCAAUCCAUCAAACGCUGGGCCACCCCCUUUCCUUCUCAGAGACCGCGUACUCAUUCUGGAUCUGCGUGCUCUUACCCUUGUACACUUGGAGGAUUCUCCCCCACUUCGAUCCUGCUUACACCUCGUUGCUCAAUGCUCGAAAAGAAAUCCCAAUCCUUGCUACCAUUCCAUAGUCAAUCUGCUGAGGAACCCAAGCCUACCAUAGCUAGGGAUCUAACCAGUCAAUCUCUACAACGAUACAGUUCCGAACAGGCAAGACAUUCCAAGUCCUACACCGGCAUGCUACAGUUACUGCAUCCUAAGCGACCUUCUCUGAUAGGGAACAUCCCCUAACUAUUAUCUAGAUAUCCAAGGUAUGCUAAUGGCAUAUAACUAAAUCACAAGCAAGCCGCACAAAAUCAAAAUACUCAUACCAAUAAUGAUGCAGAACCAUAACAAUAUAAUCAUGCAUAAAGAAAAACAGAAAACGGAAGUCGCAUACCUGCAACGUCCGACGCUGCUCGUGUCUCCAUGGUCGUCAUCUGAAAAGCCCUUCUUCCUACCGCAGGCGCCUCUUCCCGGCCCUGACGGCCCUCUAUGAUCCUCAAGGUUGCAGGGGCAGGUGCCAUCACCCGCCCUGCUGGAAGCAAACUGGGACACUGGGCCUUCUUGUGGCCCUGCUGGUUGCAGUGAAAACAUAUCAAGUCUGAUCCCUGUGUGGUGGCAGCAGUACAACCACUGCUAAAAUGACCAGUCCGACCGCACUUGAAGCAGCCCGAAUCUGCACCACUACACACCCUGGUGCGUCUGCCGCACCUUCCGCAUCGGCCGCGGCUCUGGUAAUCCCUCGAUCUCGAGUCUGACCCCUUGGUCCUUUUUCCCGAGCCUGUGACUGUCUGAAUCUCAUCCGGCUUCCUCUUCCGGAUCUGUUCCAAAUCAAUCUCCCUUUCUUUAGCUCGUGCGAUCAUAUCCUCCAAUGUUUUACAGCUGGACCUGCUCACAAAUUGCCUGAUGUCAUCCCUCAACAUCUCGUGAUAUGGGGCCUUCUUCAUCUCCUCAUCCGCGACAUACUGCGGAACAAAAAGGGCCCUCUCCCUGAACUUGGCGGUGAUCUCCGCCACAGUCUCAGUAGUCUGCGUCAAAUCCUGAAACUCCGAUGCCAACUGCUGCACCUUAAUAAUCGGUGAAAACUCGGCCCUAAACCUAGUCGAGAAAUCGCUCCAUGUCAUUGCGUCCAACGCGGCAUCAUCAUCAAUGGCAUGACCAAUCUCCUCCCACCAAUCCCUCGCUCUGUCCUUCAGAAGGCAGGAGGCAAGUUGACCUUGUCCCCCUCGGGACACUGACUUGUACGGAAUGCAUUGGCAAUAUCAGCCAACCAUCUGCUGCUAGCGAUGGGGUCCCUAGACCCAAGAUAAUUUGGUGCCCCGCAAGCCCUGAACUCUCAAAAUGUCAAAGUACGCGCUCCCAUCAAAGCCAUCAUCUCGGUACGGAAGGCUUCCAGCCUCUCAUCCAAGAUCUCCAGUAUACCCUCCUUGACCGUGCUAAAGAUCACAGGAGUCUGGUCUAGUAUGCUGCGAGUAACCUCAGCUGAUAUUAACUCCCUAGCCUGAUCCCUCUCCGACGCCUGAUUUGCCCACUAGUCUAUCUCGCAACGUCACCAUGCUGAAAAUAUAACACAACCACUAUCAAAAUACUUAUCACUGCUCCGAGACCAAAUACACGCACUACCGGGUUCCUGGUCUUGUCUCGGCCUUUCCCAAAUCGAGUACGGAUCCUUUGCUUUUAAUAGUACGGGCCCAUACUACCUUCCACAUUUAUCCGUACUUUCCUUAAGAACUACUUCGAUUCCACCAGGUCCCUUUUCCACUACUACUGCUCCCAGCACUACCUCAUCCUAGGCUUGCCCUAGGGAAACCUCUAACUCAAACCAAACCAGUCCUUAGCCGCUGAAGACCUCCUUAUGAUGCCAAUAAGCCAUCACCUGGAUACCAUCACAUGUGAUGAGGCUUAGAUAAUCCUUCAAGUAAAAGACUCGUCCAUACAACGGUUGGGCUCAAACAAGAGCUGCGCAAUAGGGCCAAAUCCAGCACUCUGAGAUUAUUCAACCCUGAUCACAUGUGAUGUGACGUAUCCACCUAAUGGCUAGCUCCCAUCACUCGGAGUCCCACAAUGCACAAAGAAAGCGACAUUCAGACAAGGGAAAAUCUAACCAUAACAUACUCAAGCAAUCAUAAUCUCAUAACAAGAAUCUAUACUAGCAUGCAACACAAACUCAUAAACUCAGGCAUAACCUAAACAGGCUAUCGUACUACUGUCUAACCAGCACUAUCAUGCAGCUCAAAAGCACAUAUAACAGGAACAUAAGGCAUCCUCCCUAGAUCCUUAGUCCUAAUAUAGCAUGUUGUUCUAUUAACUGAUAAUCAUAACAUAACUUGUUUGGGUCUUUUGGGGUACUUACUUGAGCUUGACUGAUUGCAUGUACCACACCCCUUUUCUCUUUUCAAAAUUCUUUUCUUUCUAAAUUUUUUUUGCUUUUCUAAAACUGUUUUCUUUCUCAAACUCGUUUUACAAAACUGUCUUUUCAUUUUGAAAACUUCUAUACCAAUUCCUUAGUUUGAGUUCAGACACACCUGAUAGUACGUCCGAAUCCCUUAAACCAAGGCUCUGAUACCAACUUGUAACAUCCCAAAAUUCAAGACUAAAAAUUUCUUUUAUAAAACAUUACUUAAAACAUAAUUAUCAAUCCAUAACAUAAUCAGAGUAUUACUUCCAAAACAUAUUUUCAUUAUCAGAGUAAAACAUUCCUAGGCUGUCUAACCUAUGGUGUGUGCCAUGCGAUCACCCCGAGCUCUUCCCUCCGCUACCGAAAGUACCUGAAACCAAAACUGAAAACCGUAAGCACGAAGCUUAGUGAGUUCCCCAACCUACCACAUACCAUGCCUAACCACAUACUUCACAUACUUGGCCACGCCCACUAUUUUGGGCCUCGCCCCUACCUCGGGCCUAGCCCGCUACAACGGCCCUGCCGCUCCAAGCCUCGCCUGGCUUCGAGCCUCGCUCGGAUACAGAUCUGUUUCACUUAGGCCUCGCCUGUCACUGGGCCUCGCCCGCUAGCAUAUACUAACACAUAAGCAUAUCACAACACAUAAACUAACUUGUACUAACAAAUCAUGUCCUGAGGCCUCGCCUAUCUUGGGCCUCGCCCUUGUCCUGCUACUAAUGAGUCAUGGAACCCCGUCCAUGCUCUUACUGAUAGUGAGAUAUGGGCCCAUCCCACACUCACUCUUNCUAACUUGGGACUCGCCCCUGAUCUGCUGCUAAUGAGAUGUGGAACACCGUCCACACUCUGUUGUUGGUGAGAUACGGGACCUCGCCCACACUCACCUCCCUACAAGGCACAUACAUGUAUCAAACAGACAAAAAACAUAAACUAUCAUAUAAACCAUUCCUUGAGCACCCGCCCGCUAUCAUUAGAACUCGUCCUGAAUAUCAUACUAGCAUAUUGUGCCUAGGCCUAACCCCUGGGUCUUCUACUCAUAACUACAUAGGCCGGCAUUGUGGCCUUAGACCCAUUCACAUAAAGGGAAAUCUCACCUCCACUUGUUGAACUUGCUGACACCCCUCUGACUGCUGCCUGACAACUCCAUGAACUACGGCUCUACUAGCUCCCCGUGCUACCAAUAUUAAUAUAACACUUAGUCUAACUGUCCUCCAGAAGUCAACUAAGUCAAGUCUGGUCAAGGUCAACCUUCCAGGUCAACUCUACUUGCCGAGUCGGCCUACUGACUCGCCGAGUUCACACGCUCAGAGUCCUUCCAUUAGCGACUCGACUCGCCGAGUCAGACCAUGACUCGCCGAGUCCACCGAUUUCCGAGUCCUGUCCUGUCCUACUCACUGAGUCUCCACCCGACUCAUUGAUUCGAGUUUUACCUCGAAGGGUUGGGGGUUUCGUGACCUGACUCGCCGAGUCCAAGAAUAGACUCGCCGAGUCCAAGGAAAACUUCAACAGACUCGCCGAGUUGUUCAUCCAACUCGUCGAGUUCCUCCCAAUCUUCAUACUACUUGCCGAGUCUAUUCAGUCCUUCAUACAUUCAGAGGCUUUUGAGUCAUGCAGGGACUCCAAACUGUAGAUCCACUCUCCGAAAUCCCAUUCCCCACAUAAAGUUGCAACCUUUACGUGUAGCUGCGGAGAUCUAGGCUAAACACACCACAAACUAGGGUUUAAGACAACCAUGCAUCACCUACACUCUUAAGGCUGAUACUUUAUGAGUCUCUGGGCCAAGACACAACUAGAGUUGAAGGGAUUUAGCUUGGGGACGUCCAAACCCGAAAUGUAUCAUACUUGGUCUAAAAUCUCAUAAAGAGGGACAUGAAAUGAUACAACAAUUAACAACGCAAGGAAGGAACUUGAUUACCAAAAUGAGUAGCUAAAGAGAUUAAUCUUCUAGAUCCACAACCUUCCUCUUGAACCCUUAAAUCCUUCUUCUCCUUCUAGGCUUCAAGAACACUCCAACUCUUCAACAAUGGCUCACACACUCAAAGAGAGCACUAGGGUUUCGUGGAAUAGCUUCUGGACAAUGGGGGCUACAAAUGAGGCUGAUAGAAGGAGAAUGAGAUGCUUAAAUAGGGUAUAAGUCCCGGAAUUAGGGCUUUCUCAACCCAAACUGGACUCGUUGAGUCAGUCACUUAAACCGCGACACAGAUCACUCUGCGACUCGUCGAGUUCCUCCCUGGACUUGACGAGUUGACCCAUUUGACUUAGGGUUUUCUUUACUUACUUGGCCUUUCUGAUCUUGGGUGUUACACCAUAGCUACCAAUUCCUAACAGGUACUAAGUCCAUAGCUACCAGUGUUUAUCCAAUAGGCACUAAGUCCAUAGGUGUCGAUGUUAUUUGUUAGGCACUAAGUCUAUAGCUGCCAAUGUUUACUCACAUCAUCUUUUAUCUCUCAUCAUUCAUCUGCCCAUCUCAUACCCAACAUACUUGUAUAUUUAAAAUACGUAUACAGUUCAAAUCAUUUAAAACAUGUAUAAAAAAAACGUUCAUCCAACAUAGACAACAAGUAUUCAAAUAAUAUGCACACAUAGCACGUAGUUUAUACAAAAUACUUCAUAUCUAUGUGUAAGAUGAAAGUAACUAUGCACUCACAUGAGAAGGUGGUGACUCGGUAUUCGGACAACGCUUUGUUUACUUUAAAAUACUUUCCUUCGACGAAACCUAGUAUUAUUACUACUAGAUUUUAGUCUAUUAUUUACCGUGACUAAUUAUUAGUCUUAUUAUUGUUAUGAUAUAAGCAUUUAAACAAUACUUUCCAACCACUAUGUACAAACAGGGGCCAGACAUAAAACACCGGAGGGCAGGACCAUUUUGGCGUAUAGCACUUUUUGAAAUGCAACAACCCUAUGCGGCCCUUUAAACCAGAUUCCGUGUACCACGAGUUGUUAAAAAGAUAUUAAAACGACACUUAUAUAAGUCAUAAUAAUAGCUCAAAUAUUUAUUAUAAAUUUAUAAUAACAAUACUGGUUUUAAAUAUAAAUUAUAUUUAAAAUAGGGUAAUCAUAACUUACUUACAAGGGGAUUUUAGCUAGGAGUCGGGCUCUGCAGGGGCAGAACUUUGUCGCUGAAUCUUUCUAAGAAAGAUUCGUGCAAUGCUUCAAGGCUCACCUUACUAUACUAAAACUACAGAAAGAGAAGUCGAAUCACGAGGGACCGAAAUGCUCGGGGGAUAAGGAGAGAAAGACUCUUGAAUCAAGAGAAUGGUGCAAGAAUUAUGAGAGCCCAAGGCUCUUAUUUAUACUAAUUGAAUUUUCAAAAACUACCCUCCAUAAUUACUUAAUGACCUUUUAGUUAUAUAAACAACUAAAUACCCCUCUAUAAUACUAUUUUAAAUAAAUUUAAUGAUAUUUGUACUAAACUAAUGUCGAAACAACAGAACAUUAGUCUUAUAAUGACCGCAUCGUCAAUACCUUUCUAAUGAUAUAUACAUAUGUAUAUAUAUAUAUAUAUAUAUAUGUGUGUGUGUGUGUGUGUGUACGUAUAUAUGAUUUAUACUUUAUUUUAAUACGUAAAUAUGCUAUUAUAAUUUGUAACUCAUUCAUACGAACUCCGUUUUUGACGUUAUUUAUAUCCACGCGUAGGUGGAAACGUACUCUACAACUUUCGUUUAGACUCUGUCGGCUAAUUUUGAACUUUUUUUAAAGUUAUAUUUUUAACAGGCCGGGACAUGAUUGGUCCGUUAAAAUCUCAUAACUUCUUCAUCCGAUGUCCAUUUCGUCUGUCUUUUUAUCGUUAUGCUACUAAUAACGAGAUAUUUGAUACUCGUUUAGGUUGUGUCGGCUAAAAACUACUCGAUCUAAUAUUUGAAUUUCGGGAUGUAUAUUGCUAAUCCGAAACUUCGAAAAAUCAUAACUUCCUCAUACGAAGGAUUUGGGCGUUCUUUUUAUAGACGAUUUCAGUUUAACAUAUUAUACGACUUUCGUUUAGAUCGCUAAGGCUAAAUCUCGCUCUAUCGUAAAUUCACUAUUUACGUAUCCCGAUUUCGUGCUGGUUCUGUCGCGAAAGUUCGAUGGGUCAUAACUUAUUCGUUGUAACUCGGAUUUCGGCGGUCUUUAUAUGUGCAAAAACCUUGUAACAUAUACUACAACUUGGUUAAGAUUAUUUAUUCUAAAUAAUAUUUUGCCGAAAAGUCAUUUUCGACACUUAUUGCCUCUAAACUGAUUAGCCCGGAUCUACGGGCCUUACAUUUAUCUCCCCCAUAGGAUGAUUACCUCCCGAAAUCAUCAAUGAAACAGGACUCACAUGAUGACUCCAUAUGUUAUCUCUUCAUCGUAAGUAUACUGUAACUUUGAUGUUUCUUCGAAUGAGUAUCUAACUUUAAGACUUACUGACUACAAGCGGUGCCCGAUCUAGGACCCGCUCUCCAUCUCAUGUUAGACUUCCAAAUCAUUAUCUUCAUGGCGCGAUCUCAAUCUUUAUUGGAGACUCAUUUUUUUAACAAACUUGAGAUAAGUUUCUUCCUUCGAUUAUCAUAAUAGACUGAUGGGUCAUGCUCUAAUGACCUCUCAUCGUAUGAUGCAUCGCUUGGACUCAGGUCUUUUAGAGUCAAAUUCUAGAACAUACUAUAUCUUCCUUCAUGUUCUAACCAUAUCUUAAAAGGUAGCAUUUCUAACUACAAUCAACCUUUCGUGAUACUUCUACUGAUUGCUUUUUAUUUCAAUCUUUUGUCUUAAUUCAGACGCUACAUCGAACUUGAUUCUCUAAACCACAUAACAUACUCAAUGUAGUCGGACUCAAUUUGAUAUGACCACUAGGGUCGGAAUAAAAAUCAUCUUCUUAGUCGUUACCGAAAUGAUGGUAAUGACAUACUUGAAUAAAACAAAAUCAGUUACUAGCUUCUUGGUAACCUUGUGACUUUCCCUGAUCCAAGUGUGAGACCUGUGCUUCUGGUAGUAUAUGCAUCUACUACCUUUCACACCUACUCAUACUCGUCCCAACUAUUGUCUCUUAGUCCUCAUGUCCUAAAUCACAAAAUAAUUUAACAAAUAUGAGUGUGUCCAAACAAUCAUAAAAAUUUCCCUAGACUCUACAAGGACUUCUUCCAUGCAUAUCUUCAAUCAUCAAUUCUGCUUCAACUCGAUUGGUGAUGGACAUUCCAGAUGAUAGGAAAAUUUUAGGAAUUACAUCAAUCGUUCUAUCAUCCCGCCAAUCAAAUGUGUACAUUCAGAUGUACCCUACUUCUAUAGACGUACUGCUAUUUUAUCAGACGUAUUCUAAAAGCAACAUACCUCUCAUAUGAUAUCUUCCGAUAGGUAUCAUUAUGUAUCGUAAGCCAUCUCAUUUCCUCUAUUUUCCCAGUCUAUCAUGGUUCGCAUCACUUCCUGAACUUCUACCAUCGUGAUAGGUUUGGGUGCAAGCGUAACGACCGAUGUAUGACCCAUCACAUUCUUAGGCUUAGGUUGUCAUCUUCCUCUUGUUUUGUACACCCAAGAAUACGUUCGGUGUACCGAGAAGAGAAUUUAAGAUAGGAAAGAUUUUAUUUACGAUAGACGUAUAAAUCUCCUUGUCACACAGAAACGUUACAUGCUAGUUCUAAUAUCGUAAUCAUACACAUGGAAUCCUGAACACAUUAGGUUUCCAGAUCUGGUCGGCAACAGACCAUAGAUCCGAACAAAUAACAUCAUAUAAGGCAUCUUUAUAGCUAUAACAUAAAUCAUUUAGCACAUAAAGUAUUUUAGGCAUCUUUCCUAAAAUAAACUAGCGCUCGUGUUUAAAUUAUACCAGACACUCAUCUCACAAUCAUCGCUUAGCAUUCUAAGUUUAAGUCUAGAAAUAAAUCCAUAUUCCUAGUUCGCUUAAACUAAUGCUCUGAUACCAACUGUGACAUCCCCAUUUUCACGGCCAGAAAAGACCGAUUUUGUUUAUGCUUUAUAAAAAUCAGAGUACUUCUUUUCAUAAAAAUGUUGCGGAAUUUGUUCCCAGAAAAACACGAUAAAUACGUUAUUAAAACAUUUUCGAAGAAACGUAUUUAAUUCGUUUUAAAACAUUUGGGAUGUCAUUGUCAAUACAGAAACAUAAGCAUAAACAGAACUUACAUUUAUUUACACUAGUGAUCUACAUCUCUUUAAUCUCUCAGUGUAAUGUGACUUCAUAUCAACACCUGUGAUAUAAAUAAACUGAGUGGGUCAGGUUGGGAAACCUGGUGAGUACAUAGGGUUUUCAACCCACAAUAAUAUAAUUAUUAUGUUUAAACAAUCAAACAAUCGACCCAAUUACCCAUCCCCAUUUUCUUCUUUACUCUUAAGGAUCUAUCCUAAGAGUGAUCUAUCCCGCAUUCGUUCAUUCUGAAGUCCUUUGCUUCCAGAGUUAUAGGACUGGCACUAAAUCCAUAGCUGUCAAUGUGCAUUCGUAAAGCACUAAUUCCAUAGCUGUUGGGUAGUAAAUCCAUAGCUACCAGUGUUUAUCUAAUAGGUACUAAGUCCAUAGGUACCGAUUCCUAACAAGUACUAAGUCCAUAGCUACAAGUGUUUAUCCAAUAGGCACUAAGUCCAUAGCUGCCGAUGUUAUUUGUUAGGCACUAAGUCUAUAGCUGCCAAUGUAUACUCACAUCAUCUUUUAUCUCUCAUCA